This 1262-nucleotide ribosomal RNA is filed under the name uncultured euryarchaeote. RNAcentral's name for it is "bacterial SSU rRNA". It matches the Rfam family "Archaeal small subunit ribosomal RNA", at positions 28 to 1247 of the family's 1478-position model. The record is from RNAcentral. Lineage: Archaea; Methanobacteriati; Methanobacteriota.
UGUUAUCGGGUUCGACUAAGCCUGCGAGUCCAGGGGGGCUUUGCCCACCGGCGGACGGCUCAGUAACACGUGGACAACCUGCCCUCGGGAGGGGGAUAACCCCGGGAAACUGGGACUAAACCCCCAUAGGCCAUGGAGGCUGGAAGGCGCCAUGGCUGAAAUUCCGCAAGGAGCCCGAGGAUGGGUCUGCGGCCUAUCAGGUUGUAGUGGGGGUAACGGCCCCACUAGCCUACGACGGGUACGGCCCUGAGAGGGGGAGCCCGGAGAUGGACUCUGAGACACGAGUCCAGGCCCUACGGGGCGCAGCAGGCGCGAAAACUCCGCAAUGCUCGAAAGAGCGACGGGGGAACUCCGAGUGCCUACGCUUUGCGUAGGCUUUUCCUGAGCCUAAAAAGCUCAGNGGAAUAAGGGCUGNGUAAGACGGGUGCCAGCCGCCGCGGUAAUACCCGCAGCUCGAGUGGUGGCCGCUAUUAUUGGGCCUAAAGCGUCCGUAGCCGGUUUGGUAAAUGCCUGGGUAAAUCGUAGAGCUCAACUCUACGGCUCCCAGGUAGACUGCCAGACUCGGGACCGGAGGAGGGAGAGGGUACUCCAGGGGUAGGGGUGAAAUCAGCAAGGUGAGUUUCUAAGGUAACUUGCCUUGCAAGUCACAAUCCUGUAAUCCCUGGAGGACCACCGGUGGCGAAGGCGCUCUCCUAGGACGGGUCCGACGGUGAGGGACGAAAGCCAGGGGAGCAAACCGGAUUAGAUACCCGGGUAGUCCUGGCCGUAAACGAUGUGGACUUGGUAUUGGGAUGGCUACGAGCUGUCCCAGUGCCGUAGGGAAGCCGUUAAGUCCACCGCCUGGGGAGUACGGUCGCAAGGCUGAAACUUAAAGGAAUUGGCGGGGGAGCACCGCAACGGGAGGAGCGUGCGGUUUAAUUGGAUUCAACGCCGGAAAGCUUACCAGGGGAGACUGCCAGAUGUGGGCCAGGCUGAAGACCUUGCCCGAACAAUAGGCAGAGAGGUGGUGCAUGGCCGUCGUCAGCUCGUACCGUAAGGCGUUCUGUUAAGUCAGGUAACGAGCGAGACCCCCGCCCUUAGUUGCGAUCUGUUCCUCCGGGGACAGAGCACACUAAGGGGACUGCCGGCGAUAAGCUGGAGGAAGGAGGGGGCAACGGUAGGUCAGUAUGCCCUGAAUCCCCUGGGCUACACGCGCGCUACAAAGGCUGGGACAAUGGGUUGCGAUGCCGAAAGGCAAAGCUAAUCCCUAAACCCAGUCGUAG